This is a long non-coding RNA of Mya arenaria, 318 nucleotides long. RefSeq lists it as uncharacterized. Lineage: Eukaryota; Metazoa; Mollusca; Bivalvia; Myida; Myidae. The record is from RefSeq and is a predicted model, not a curated record. The transcript is spliced from 4 exons.
GACAAAUAAGAAUGGUAUUAAGUUGGUAGAAUGGAACUCCUUCCUGAUUCCUGCACAUGUAAGUUACCAGAUACUCUUGAGGGACCAAUUUAAGGGCAAACAGACAAACGUUUUGAUGCAAAGAAAGCAUUGGAUUUGAAAGUUCCCAUGGAGAAGAAAAAUGGAGAGAUUCUAAAAGUAUGAAGAUAUUCCUGUGUAUAAUGAGGAAAUCUUGUCAGUGAAUGUUGUUGCAAUUGUGGACCAGGCCAGAGUUGUACUAAACCAACUAAGACACAAUGAGAUACAGGAAUGACACAAUGAGAAACAGGAAACAGGAAA